This 497-nucleotide ribosomal RNA is filed under the name uncultured bacterium. RNAcentral's name for it is "partial 16S ribosomal RNA". It matches the Rfam family "Bacterial small subunit ribosomal RNA", at positions 28 to 507 of the family's 1533-position model. The record is from RNAcentral.
GAUGAACGCUGGCGGCGUGCCUAAUACAUGCGAGUCGAGCGAACAGAUGAGGAGCUUGCUCCUCUGACGUUAGCGGCGGACGGGUGAGUAACACGUGGAUAACCUACCUAUAAGACUGGGAUAACUUCGGGAAACCGGAGCUAAUACCGGAUAAUAUAUUGAACCGCAUGGUUCAAUAGUGAAAGACGGUUUUGCUGUCACUUAUAGAUGGAUCCGCGCCGCAUUAGCUAGUUGGUAAGGUAACGGCUUACCAAGGCAACGAUGCGUAGCCGACCUGAGAGGGUGAUCGGCCACACUGGAACUGAGACACGGUCCAGACUCCUACGGGAGGCAGCAGUAGGGAAUCUUCCGCAAUGGGCGAAAGCCUGACGGAGCAACGCCGCGUGAGUGAUGAAGGUCUUCGGAUCGUAAAACUCUGUUAUUAGGGAAGAACAACUGUGUAAGUAACUCUGCACGUCUUGACGGUACCUAAUCAGAAAGCCACGGCUAACUACGUG